CAAUUUCCAUCCAUAGAUUAUCCCCAAUCAAUGGCUAAGAUUAAUUGGGGGUUUAAUUGAGGAGAAACUUAUAAAUAAAGGCUUAAAAGGGCAACAAGGUAAAAUCGCACUUCCCUAACCAUCAAAAAAUCAAUCCAAAUCACGUUUCCUCCUCAGCAAAUCAAAUGAAGUCUUCCAAAACCCCAAAUCGCGUUUUCUACCUCCUGAUAUAAACUUGCAAAUUAGAAGUAAUCUAGGGUUUUAAGGAAUAAAAAGCAACAGUGAAUGAAAAUUAUGUAGAGCAUGAUGUUCUUAAUCAGGUUGUAAAAGUCCGAGAACAUUAAGGAUCCAACUGUGAAGUUAUCCAGCUGAAUGUUAUGAUGAGGAUUCUCAAUACAUUGAACCAACAGAAGCGUCAAGGAGUGGUAAACAAUAUUUAUUGUGGAGUGUUUUUUGAUGAGACACAUGGAACCAACAAGGAAGGACGUGUGAAGAACAGAGAAUGCGGUUUCAAACUGAGAAAAGAAAGAGACAAUAAUCACAACUAAAUUUUCUUAGAAAGAAAUAUGUUGCAGACAUUGUACUUUCGAAAGUGAAUAUUCACUGAGAAGAUGUGAUCAAGAAAGCAUUAGAGUUUGAAAUGAGACCAAACAAGAAAAAUACUAGAUGAUAUUAUGGAUUAUGAUUUGUUUCUAUGUUACCUUGGUUAGCGUACAUAUCAAGGAUUAUAACUUUCGUUUUUAUGUUAUCAUGUUUAUCAUAUGUCAAUAAUUAUGACUUGUUUGGCAAGAUAAUGCUUUUGAUUUUCGAAUAAUGUUAUGUUGGUUUAAAUCCUACUUGUUG
Molecule: long non-coding RNA, 822 nt
Filed under: Helianthus annuus (common sunflower)
Lineage: Eukaryota; Viridiplantae; Streptophyta; Magnoliopsida; Asterales; Asteraceae
Source: RNAcentral